AAUUGAUGAUGCGCACGCGCACUAUUGCCCCGUAGAGUCUACCUUCCAUUGGAUAGUAGCUGGCAAACACGUAGGAGGAGAAAAGGCUCCAUACCUCCAUAACAUCUAUCUAUCUAACAACUGGGCUGGGAGAGUAGUAGUGUCUAUACUGCGUAAGUGAAGAAACUGAGACUCAGGCUAAGCAAACUGCUCGAUGCCGUACAACUACAUGUAGUGGUGAAUGUGAGACUAAACCUUGGAUUUGUCUGGCUCCGAAAUCUCUAUGCCUUCCACAACAAUAAAACUCAGAAGACAAAGAGUUGGAACACUUGACAAGGAGAGGAGAGUGGAAGGAGAACUCAGCACCUGGGCUGCUAUGUCAGAGGCCUCAGAUUGUGCUUGAAAUCCCAGGAUCAGAAGAUACUUUUUCAGAUUAUCCUAUGUAUCAGAGUCCAGCCAGAGAAAUAAAGGUCACUCUAGGUCUCUCAGUGGGUGAAAUUUAGUCCAGGAAACAGAUUACACAGGUGACGUGGGAACUUGAGGGACUGCAGUUGGGGUUUCCAGGUGGGAACUAGAACUGUAGAAGGAGGGUCUAUUGGCAAGACCUAUGACUUGUGGAGACAUCAUCUGAGACAGAAGAAGAAAAUUACCUACUUAUUCCCUUCCUCCUGCCCUUCAUCUCCCAGUGUUGUCUCCCAUAUGCUAAAGCUAGAGGGCAGAAGAGCCUGGAAAAGUUGCUCCCUGAGAUUGAGAGCAGG
This is a long non-coding RNA of Zalophus californianus (California sea lion), 737 nucleotides long. RefSeq lists it as uncharacterized. The transcript is spliced from 3 exons. The record is from RefSeq and is a predicted model, not a curated record. Lineage: Eukaryota; Metazoa; Chordata; Mammalia; Carnivora; Otariidae.